AGCGAACGCUGGCGGCAGGCCUAACACAUGCAAGUCGAACGAACCUUUCGGGGUUAGUGGCGGACGGGUGAGUAACACGUGGGAACGUGCCUUUAGGUUCGGAAUAACUCAGGGAAACUUGUGCUAAUACCGAAUGUGCCCUUCGGGGGAAAGAUUAAUCGCCUUUAGAGCGGCCCGCGUCUGAUUAGCUAGUUGGUUGAGGUAAUGGCUCACCAAGGCGACGAUCAGUAGCUGGUCUGAGAGGAUGAUCCACUACAUUGGGACUGAGACACGGCCCAAUCUCCUACGGGAGGCAGCAGAAUGUUGUCUUACGCGAUGAGCGAUGGCCUGGCACAGCCGUGCCGCGUGUAUGAUGAAUGGCUUAGUAUUGUAAAAUUCUUUCGCCAGAGGCGAUAAUGACGGUACCCGGAGAAGAAGCCCCGGCUAACUUCGUG
This 434-nucleotide ribosomal RNA is filed under the name uncultured bacterium. RNAcentral's name for it is "partial 16S ribosomal RNA". It matches the Rfam family "Bacterial small subunit ribosomal RNA", at positions 29 to 507 of the family's 1533-position model. The record is from RNAcentral.